Molecule: ribosomal RNA, 492 nt
Filed under: uncultured bacterium
Lineage: Bacteria
Description: partial 16S ribosomal RNA
Rfam family: Bacterial small subunit ribosomal RNA
Source: RNAcentral
AGUGAACGCUGGCGGUAGGCCUAACACAUGCAAGUCGAACGGCAGCACAGUAAGAGCUUGCUCUUACGGGUGGCGAGUGGCGGACGGGUGAGGAAUACAUCGGAAUCUACUUUUUCUUGGGGGAUAUCGUAGGGAAACUUACGCUAAUACCGCAUACGACCUACGGGUUAAAGCAGGGGAUCUUCGGACCUUGCGCGAUUGAAUUAGCCGAUGUCGGAUUAGCUAGUUGGCGGGGUAAAGGCCCACCAAGGCGACGAUCCGUAGCUGGUCUGAGAGGAUGAUCAGCCACACUGGAACUGAGACACGGUCCAGACUCCUACGGGAGGCAGCAGUGGGGAAUAUUGGACAAUGGGCGCAAGCCUGAUCCAGCCAUACCGCGUGGGUGAAGAAGGCCUUCGGGUUGUAAAGCCCUUUUGUUGGGAAAGAAAAGCAGCAGGUUAAUACCCCGCUGUUCUGACGGUACCCAAAGAAUAAGCACCGGCUAACUUCGUG